GAGGGUAUGGCUCAGUGGUGGAGCCCAUGCCUAGCAUGCAGGAGGUCCUGGGUUCAAUCCCCAGCACCUCCA
Molecule: transfer RNA, 72 nt
Filed under: Camelus bactrianus (Bactrian camel)
Lineage: Eukaryota; Metazoa; Chordata; Mammalia; Artiodactyla; Camelidae
Also listed under: 3 other names
Rfam family: tRNA
About the family: Transfer RNA (tRNA) molecules are approximately 80 nucleotides in length.
Source: Rfam by way of RNAcentral